Molecule: ribosomal RNA, 487 nt
Filed under: uncultured bacterium
Lineage: Bacteria
Description: partial 16S ribosomal RNA
Rfam family: Bacterial small subunit ribosomal RNA
Source: RNAcentral
GAUGAACGCUAGCGAUAGGCUUAACACAUGCAAGUCGAGGGGCAGCACAAGGUAGCUUGCUCUCUGGGUGGCGACCGGCGCACGGGUGCGUGACGCGUAUGCAACUUGCCCUAUACAGGAGGAUAACCCGUCGAAAGACGGACUAAUACUGCGUAUGCUCACAACUUGGCAUCAAGUGGUGAGGAAAGAAAUUCGGUAUAGGAUAGGCAUGCGUCCCAUUAGCUUGUUGGUGAGGUAACGGCUCACCAAGGCAACGAUGGGUAGGGGAACUGAGAGGUUUAUCCCCCACACUGGUACUGAGACACGGACCAGACUCCUACGGGAGGCAGCAGUGAGGAAUAUUGGUCAAUGGGCGCGAGCCUGAACCAGCCAAGUCGCGUGAAGGAUGACUGUCUUAUGGAUUGUAAACUUCUUUUAUACGGGAAUAACAAGAGUCACGUGUGACUCCCUGCAUGUACCGUAUGAAUAAGCAUCGGCUAACUCCGUG